AUUGAACGCUGGCGGCAGGCCUAACACAUGCAAGUCGAACGGUAACAGGAAGAAGCUUGCUUCUUUGCUGACGAGUGGCGGACGGGUGAGUAAUGUCUGGGAAACUGCCUGAUGGAGGGGGAUAACUACUGGAAACGGUAGCUAAUACCGCAUAACGUCGCAAGACCAAAGAGGGGGACCUUCGGGCCUCUUGCCAUCGGAUGUGCCCAGAUGGGAUUAGCUAGUAGGUGGGGUAACGGCUCACCUAGGCGACGAUCCGUAGCUGGUCUGAGAGGAUGAUCAGCCACACUGGAACUGAGACACGGUCCAGACUCCUACGGGAGGCAGCAGUGGGGAAUAUUGGACAAUGGGCGAAAGCCUGAUCCAGCCAUGCCGCGUGUGUGAAGAAGGCCUUCGGGUUGUAAAGCACUUUAAGCGGGGAGGAAGGUUCGCGGCCUAAUACGUCGCGGAAUUGACGUUACCCGCAGAAUAAGCACCGGCUAACUCUGUG
RNAcentral lists this ribosomal RNA (490 nucleotides) under uncultured bacterium. RNAcentral describes it as "partial 16S ribosomal RNA". It matches the Rfam family "Bacterial small subunit ribosomal RNA", at positions 30 to 507 of the family's 1533-position model. The record is from RNAcentral.